This 1418-nucleotide long non-coding RNA is filed under the name Gallus gallus (chicken). RNAcentral's name for it is "lncRNA (ENSGALG00010006599.1)". The record is from RNAcentral. Lineage: Eukaryota; Metazoa; Chordata; Aves; Galliformes; Phasianidae.
AAACAAACAAACGGCUCUCUGAGCCAGCUACAGAUUUGCCCGAGGAUGAAAGUACAUCUCUUCCCAGAGCAAAAGCACAAGAGCUGGUGUGGAUUUUAAUGGUGCCCUGCAGUGCUGGGAUAGCCACCUUCCCACCCCUUCCAGCAUGCUUGUGGCGAUGUCUGGGCUGGCUGAUGUCUACUGCAACACUUCCUGUGGCUGCAGCAGGGUGGCACAGGUCUCCAGGUUAAAUGUGACUUGCACCAGUUUGACUUGCAAAUCCAUUUCACUGCAAAUUAAGCCCAGACACCGCUAACAGCAAUUACAGUGAUCACAACAUCAAAGAUGGAGUUGUUUUUUCCAGGAGUUUUGCAUAAGUAGACACAUAAGGGAAACGGAAGCUGUAUUUUUGCAAUCUUCUCCCCAGAACUUCUGACGUACUAAAUAGAGGAUGAUACAGCUUCUUACCAGCAUAAAUCCUGAUGCACAGUCCCAGCAUUCAGAACAUCUGCUGGGACAAGAGGAAGAAGAAUCAGGAAGAGAGCUAAAUCCUAGAUCAAGCCUUCAGAGAGACCAUAGUAGCUCUUGUCUUCUGCCAUGAUGCCCUCAUGCAAGAAUAAAGGUGGCUUCCCAGCACCAAGUGCCCCCAAAUCCCACAAGGAAUUCAGAGUCACCGGUUUUUCUAGCCUUGUGACAGACAGACUGCCACGUCACUGCAUGUCAUCUUCUUUUUCCGGUGCACACUCAAUUUGCUCUGUACUUUCCAGUUUUGCUGGGGCUGUUGGGCUUCUGCGCGCGCUCCGUCAGCUGACACUGAGUCAGUCCAGGAGGCUGGGCAGGACUUUCUGAGAACGCCCACCAAAGCCUUGGCUGACGGUGAGUGCAGGCUCAUCCUGAGAAGCCGUGCACCUUUCCUCCCCCGAGCUGCAAACUUUCACUGAGGACAAACACAGUGACAGGCACUGCCAGCCCCACUGCAGCACAGGGAAAAAAAAAAAAAAAAAAAACAAUGCCCCCUCCCCACCCCCCCCCCCCCCAAAAAAAAAAAACAAAACAGAAACUGACUGACUUAACCAUUUCCAAGAAAAACAGAGAAGCACUUUUCUUUUUAAUUCAUCAUUUUCAUGAAUGAGUUAUUCAUGCACUUGUGGCAAUUCUUGCAUUCUUAAAAACAAAAAACAAAACAAAACAAAAAAAACAAUACGGUGACAUCCAUUGGCUCCCAGUGGCACAGGGAUCGACAUGGAGGGGGCAGGGCAGCCAAGAGCUUCCGAGUUGCAAGGAAGAAGCAUGAUACAGCUGCACCAUUCAGCACAGCAACUGCACCAUUGACAACAUAAACAUUCUACUUUCUGAGAUAAAAUAUAUUAUAUAUAUAUAUAAUAAUUUGCACAUAAGUAAUCUAGCCUGGAAACUGAAAUACCACAAUUACAGCAAUU